CUACGGGGGGCACCAGUGGGGAAUAUUGGACAAUGGGGGAAACCCUGAUCCAGCAAUGCCGCGUGUGUGAAGAAGGCCUGCGGGUUGUAAAGCACUUUCGGUUGGGAGGACUGCUUCUAGCACUAAUAUUGUUGGAAGUUGACGUUACCUUCAGAAGAAGCACCGGCUAGCUCCGUGCCAGCAGCCGCGGUAAUACGGAGGGUGCAAGCGUUAAUCGGAAUUACUGGGCGUAAAGCGCGCGUAGGCGGCUAGAUCAGUCGGGUGUGAAAGCCCCGGGCUUAACCUGGGAACUGCAUCCGAUACUGUCUAGCUUGAGUACAGGAGAGGAGAGUGGAAUUCCACAUGUAGCGGUGAAAUGCGUAGAUAUGUAGAGGAACACCAAUGGCGAAGGCAGCUCUCUGGCCUGAUACUGACGCUGAGGUGCGAAAGCGUGGGGAGCAAACAGGGUUAGAUACCCUCGUAGUC
This 465-nucleotide ribosomal RNA is filed under the name uncultured bacterium. RNAcentral describes it as "partial 16S ribosomal RNA". It matches the Rfam family "Bacterial small subunit ribosomal RNA", at positions 339 to 795 of the family's 1533-position model. The record is from RNAcentral.